AUUGAACGCUGGCGGCAGGCCUAACACAUGCAAGUCGAGCGGAUGAAGGGAGCUUGCUCCUGGAUUCAGCGGCGGACGGGUGAGUAAUGCCUAGGAAUCUGCCUGGUAGUGGGGGAUAACGUCCGGAAACUGGCGCUAAUACCGCAUACGUCCUGAGGGAGAAAGUGGGGGAUCUUCGGACCUCACGCUAUCAGAUGAGCCUAGGUCGGAUUAGCUAGUUGGUGCGGUAAAGGCCUACCAAGGCGACGAUCCGUAACUGGUCUGAGAGGAUGAUCAGUCACACUGGAACUGAGACACGGUCCAGACUCCUACGGGAGGCAGCAGUGGGGAAUAUUGGACAAUGGGCGAAAGCCUGAUCCAGCCAUGCCGCGUGUGUGAAGAAGGUCUUCGGAUUGUAAAGCACUUUAAGUUGGGAGGAAGGGCAGUAAGUUAAUACCUUGCUGUUUUGACGUUACCAACAGAAUAAGCACCGGCUAACUUCGUG
RNAcentral lists this ribosomal RNA (484 nucleotides) under uncultured bacterium. RNAcentral's name for it is "partial 16S ribosomal RNA". It matches the Rfam family "Bacterial small subunit ribosomal RNA", at positions 30 to 507 of the family's 1533-position model. The record is from RNAcentral.